UACGUAGGGUGCGAGCGUUAAUCGGAAUUACUGGGCGUAAAGCGUGCGCAGGCGGUUUUGUAAGCCAGAUGUGAAAUCCCCGGGCUUAACCUGGGAAUGGCAUUUGGGACUGCAAGGCUGGAGUACGGCAGAGGAGACUGGAAUUCCUGGUGUAGCAGUGAAAUGCGUAGAGAUCAGGAGGAAUGCCGAUGGCGAAGGCAGGUCUCUGGGCUGAUACUGACGCUCAUGCACGAAAGCGUGGGGAGCAAACAGG
This 253-nucleotide ribosomal RNA is filed under the name uncultured bacterium. RNAcentral describes it as "partial 16S ribosomal RNA". It matches the Rfam family "Bacterial small subunit ribosomal RNA", at positions 524 to 776 of the family's 1533-position model. The record is from RNAcentral.